RNAcentral lists this ribosomal RNA (251 nucleotides) under uncultured bacterium. Its description in RNAcentral is "partial 16S ribosomal RNA". It matches the Rfam family "Bacterial small subunit ribosomal RNA", at positions 103 to 354 of the family's 1533-position model. The record is from RNAcentral.
CGGGUGAGUAACGCGUGGAUAACCUGCCGUAUACUGGGGGAUAACACCUAGAAAUAGGUGCUAAUACCGCAUAAGCGCACAGUCUCGCAUGAGACGGUGUGAAAAACUCCGGUGGUAUACGAUGGAUCCGCGUCUGAUUAGCUUGUUGGCGGGGUAACAGCCCACCAAGGCGACGAUCAGUAGCCGGCCUGAGAGGGUGAACGGCCACAUUGGGACUGAGACACGGCCCAAACUCCUACGGAAGGCAGCAG